Molecule: unclassified non-coding RNA, 255 nt
Filed under: uncultured fungus
Lineage: Eukaryota; Fungi
Description: partial contains 5.8S ribosomal RNA, internal transcribed spacer 2, and large subunit ribosomal RNA
Rfam family: 5.8S ribosomal RNA (bases 1-52)
Source: RNAcentral
AACGCACAUUGCGCCCUCUGGUAUUCCGGAGGGCAUGCCUGUUCGAGCGUCAUUUCGACCCUCAAGCCUUGCUUGGUGUUGGGCGCCUUGUCCCCCCACGAUCUGGGGACCCGCCUCGAAAUCAUCGGCGCCAGCGGUUUGGUCUGGAGCGCAGCAGAUCGCUGCUCCUGUACCUGCGCCUGCUGGCUUCCGCAAGCUGCGAAGUCCACGCUGAAACUUGACCUCGGAUCAGGCAGGGAUACCCGCUGAACUUAA